CUGCCUGACAGGAGCCAGUGCCUCAGUGCUGAGGUGCUCACCUCUUUCCCCAUUGCCACCAGGGCCUGGCAGAGACUCAAGGCCACACGCACCACGGGCUGUGUCCAUCACCACAGACACCAGUUGCAUGCCCCAGUGUCCCCACGGCCCCGACCUGACUCUGGAGCAAGCCCCUGGGCCUGAGCCUCACCUUCCCUCAGUCAUGCUUAAGCCUGGGACUUGAUUUGGGACUGGCCUUGUGAGGCACUAGCCUGCCACCCCACUACCCACUUCCAGGGACCCCAAAUUUACCACAAGUACCCUUUGCUCCUGUACAAGCGUUAACCUCAAGUCCUGAACCAUUCCCUCUGCAGCCCAUUCCUGGGUCGCAGCAGUGGCCCACCCCUCAUGGCCCCAGCAGCAUCAUCAUGGAGGAUGGGUGCUGAGACGUGCAAUGUAAUCAGCCAGACUUUUGGGAUAGCCUCUUCACCUUCCUGGUUAUUUGUGCUCACUACUAUUGCUUCUUUCACCAGUACAAUUUCCCUUCCAAGGCUUGGACCAACCUUCCUGUCAACAUAGCAGUGUAUGUUGGCUACCUCUAUGCAGGUUGAGGCUUCAUGUCAUCCUAAAGAGAUUGUGUGACUCUGGUACUAUAAACACCAAGAUUCGAAGGACCAAGACCUUACACCUAGUCCUCUGAUAAUGCUUGGGUUUUUCCUCCACACUGGCUAACCUCCAAAUGCAUAGUGCUGAGGAGAUUUCUUUCACUGACAGAGCACCAAGACUCUUCUAUCAAAACUAUUUUAACCUUUAAGGAGAGAAGGUUUCUUUGUUUUGCUAACAGCAGUCAGUGACUGAAGAUUUUUAGCCUUGGACUGAGCUGAGGCGUUGGGUAGAUGCAGCAUGGUGUAGAGCAAAAGGUCUAAUCCAGGAAAACUGAAUUCCCAUAUCCUCACACAGUCACACCAGUAUCUAGUGAGAGACCAAGAAGCAGAAUUAAGUCUAGGCAAGGGCCUCUCCAGGAGAAUUUCAGGUGACAUGAGCUCACUGUUUACAAGAAGGAUCUGUCACAUGGAAAACAUGCUAUAUGCAAGUCUAUACACUUAAAACCAAAGAGGGGACAAAACCACAUAGUAAAUGGACUGUGGAAGAGGUGAAAGAAAACAACUGAUAGAAAGUCUUAAGAGCAGAUAUCUAGCAAAGCCACGGAGAAACUGAGCCUCCGUGAGUGUCAGACCAGACUUCUGAACCUGUAUCAAGCUGUUGAAUCCAAAUGUAGACAAGCUAAUGACAUAGUGAGAGUGCAUGAGAAAUUUGUCUGAUUCCUGACAAACUGGGUGACUUUACCACACACUGAGCCCAGCACUGGUCAUCAUAUUUGCCUGACUGAAAAGGCUGUCCUUUAAUUGGCCUACAUCCUGCAAAUUGGCACACGGCAGCUCAAGCUAUUCCUUCCAAAGGAUCUCUGGUUUAUGCUCAGGCAUCAUAAAGCAGUUGGACCAGUUACAGUUCAGAAUAAACAUGAAACCUACUAUCUGCACCCAGCAGUGAUCAUUUCCAGCCAGCAUUUCUGUGUACGGUGACCACAAAUGUAGCUAAAUCAAUACAACUUUGUUAAUAGUGAAACAUGUGAAAGUAACACUAGUGAAAAGGCUGUUCCCAACCAUUUUAUCUCCAGGAUAACUUGAUGAGACAAGCUCUCAAGAAAGGAAGAGAAUUCAGCCUGUUCCAGUCAGAGAGUUCCUGACUUAACCUCUUUUUGCUGAGGUUACCAGUAUUCCCCUCAAUUCAGGACAAAAAUGGCAGCAAUAUCACUUAUGGAAGGAGAGAAAAUGCGCUACAGCCAUCAGCCUACCCCAGAAAGUAUAUAGAAAAGACAAUUCCAGGUUGUGUCAACUGCAUUAGCCUUGCCUGCAGCAGCAUAAACAUUAAAUUACAGCAUUCUCAGUUAUGGGACUCUCUCGCUUAAAAUGUCGAGUUGCUACUAAAACACAGUAAAAGAGUUAGUGGCAAGUCAUUGACACAAAGCCUUUCCACAUCUCCAAAAGGAAUAAUGUCCUGCUCCAGUUUUCCCACGUUAUGGAUUAUAUCGACUGACAUGACUGAAAAAGAUGACACAGAUCGUCUCUUGGUACAUGUUCCACUUGAAAGUGUAAAAAAAAAAUCUGUCCUGUUUACCAUGUGAAUGUCUGCUACAGCAUUUCCCAUAGCAUCAAUAUUUCUGGGGAAGAGAAAUAUCCGUGUCCAGAAGUGUUUUGUCAGAUAAAGGCUAGAAACCAAACAGAAAUGGAAGCUCAAGCAAAUUCUGCAAGCUCUGUUUUACUGCCACUGUA
Long non-coding RNA from Pseudopipra pipra, 2312 nucleotides. RefSeq lists it as uncharacterized. The record is from RefSeq and is a predicted model, not a curated record. Lineage: Eukaryota; Metazoa; Chordata; Aves; Passeriformes; Pipridae. The transcript has 2 exons.